AGAGCGAACGCUGGCGGCAGGCCUAAAACAUGCAAGUCGAACGGACCCUUCGGGGUUAGUGGCGGACGGGUGAGUAACACGUGGGAACGUGCCUUUUGGUUCAGAACAACUCAGGGAAACUUGAGCUAAUACUGAAUAAGCCCUACGGGGGAAAGAUUUAUCGCCAUUAGAGCGGCCCGCGUUGGAUUAGCUAGUUGGUGAGGUAAAGGCUCACCAAGGCUACGAUCCAUAGCUGGUCUGAGAGGAUGAUCAGCCACACUGGGACUGAGACACGGCCCAGACUCCUACGGGAGGCAGCAGUUAGGAAUCUUGCGCAAUGGGCGAAAGCCUGACGCAGCCAUGCCGCGUGAAUGAUGAAGGUCUUAGGAUUGUAAAAUUCUUUCAGUGGGAAGAUAAUGACUGUACCCACAGAAGAAGCUCCGGCUAACUUCGUGCCAGCAGCCGC
Molecule: ribosomal RNA, 445 nt
Filed under: uncultured bacterium
Lineage: Bacteria
Description: SSU rRNA
Rfam family: Bacterial small subunit ribosomal RNA
Source: RNAcentral